GACGAACGCUGGCGGCGUGCCUAACACAUGCAAGUCGAGCGGGACGCAGCGAUGCGUCCAGCGGCGGACGGGUGAGUAACACGUGAGGAACCUGCCCUUCAGUGGGGAACAACACCGGGAAACCGGUGCUAAUACCGCAUGACGUCCCUGGGGAGACAUCUUCCUGGGACCAAAGGAGAAAUCCGCUGAAGGAUGGCCUCGCGCCCGAUUAGCUAGUUGGCGGGGUAACGGCCCACCAAGGCUUCGAUCGGUAGCCGAACUGAGAGGUUGAUCGGCCACAUUGGGACUGAGACACGGCCCAGACUCCUACGGGUGGCUG
This 319-nucleotide ribosomal RNA is filed under the name uncultured Bacillota bacterium. RNAcentral's name for it is "bacterial SSU rRNA". It matches the Rfam family "Bacterial small subunit ribosomal RNA", at positions 28 to 351 of the family's 1533-position model. The record is from RNAcentral. Lineage: Bacteria; Bacillati; Bacillota.